Molecule: non-coding RNA, 69 nt
Organism: Rattus norvegicus (Norway rat)
Lineage: Eukaryota; Metazoa; Chordata; Mammalia; Rodentia; Muridae
Source: Rfam
GGGGAUUUGGCUCAGCGGUAGAGCGCUUGCCUAGCAAGCGCAAGGCCCUGGGUUCGGUCCCCAGCUCCG